AAAAGUCAAAUUUGUAUGAAGUAGGAACGUUUGCCGCUAGGGACGCUGUUCCAACUGCAUACAAAUUUGAGUUA
Bombyx mori (domestic silkworm) is the source of this 74-nucleotide non-coding RNA. Lineage: Eukaryota; Metazoa; Arthropoda; Insecta; Lepidoptera; Bombycidae. The record is from Rfam.